Long non-coding RNA from Mesocricetus auratus (golden hamster), 502 nucleotides. RefSeq lists it as uncharacterized. The transcript has 2 exons. NCBI's taxonomy places the organism in Eukaryota, Metazoa, Chordata, Mammalia, Rodentia, Cricetidae. The record is from RefSeq and is a predicted model, not a curated record.
CGCGGGCCGAGAUUUUCUUAGCCCAGCCCCACCUCACCGGGCGGGAGGGGUCCCACCGGAAGCCUUUCCGAAGUCACAGAGGCGACUCACCGUAGACGAUAAACAAACCACGAAACGACCGGCGCCACGGAGGAGAGCUCGAGAACUGCGCAGCAGGAUUAUGGAGUGUUGCCUUUGGGCAGGGAAGUUCGGGAAGGGGACGCUGGGCGCGAGGUGGGAGGCGGAAAGAAAGGAACCACGGCCGAUGAAGGAGCUUGCGUUUAUUACACGUGAAAACUAAAACCACUGACGAGCUCUGUCCUCUUUUCCUUCUGUAUUUGUGUGUGUGUCGGGCGCUCGUGGAGGUCAAGGACAACUUUGAGGAGUCAGGUCUCCUUCCAGCGGGUGGGUUUUGGCUGUCAAACUCAGGUCUUUAGGUUUGGCAGCCAAACACCCAUGAGUCAUCUCACCAACCCUUUCAUUCUUAGGUGACGUGAAAUAAAAGCAACCUGUUACAAAUAUA